RNAcentral lists this transfer RNA (73 nucleotides) under Leptolyngbyaceae cyanobacterium RM1_1_2. RNAcentral describes it as "tRNA-Trp". It matches the Rfam family "tRNA". From Rfam's summary of the family: Transfer RNA (tRNA) molecules are approximately 80 nucleotides in length. Their secondary structure includes four short double-helical elements and three loops (D, anti-codon, and T loops). Lineage: Bacteria; Bacillati; Cyanobacteriota; Cyanophyceae; Leptolyngbyales; Leptolyngbyaceae. RNAcentral also lists the same sequence under 3 other names. The record is from RNAcentral.
GCGCUCUUAGUUCAGCUGGUAGAACGCAGGUCUCCAAAACCUGAUGUCCGAGGUUCGAGUCCUCGAGGGCGCG